GCAGGGUUCACCCCCCGGGCCGCACUCCGGACGAGAGCACCGCCGUACCCGGUCACGACAAGACGGCGCAUG
Molecule: non-coding RNA, 72 nt
Filed under: Deinococcus gobiensis
Lineage: Bacteria; Thermotogati; Deinococcota; Deinococci; Deinococcales; Deinococcaceae
Source: RNAcentral